GCUGAUGUAGUGCAAUGGUUAGCACUUGUCCCCGGGAAUGGUGAAAUGCGGGUUCGAAUCCCGUCCAACGGUC
Non-coding RNA from Parelaphostrongylus tenuis, 73 nucleotides. NCBI's taxonomy places the organism in Eukaryota, Metazoa, Nematoda, Chromadorea, Rhabditida, Metastrongylidae. The record is from the annotation of a GenBank genome assembly.